GCCCUGGUAGCGCAACUGGUCAGAGCGUGGGACUUUUAAUCCCAAGGCUGCGGGUUCGAAUCCCGCCUGGGGCG
Molecule: transfer RNA, 74 nt
Filed under: Magnaporthiopsis poae ATCC 64411
Lineage: Eukaryota; Fungi; Ascomycota; Sordariomycetes; Magnaporthales; Magnaporthaceae
Description: tRNA-Lys (TTT) (tRNA-Lys-TTT-1-1)
Rfam family: tRNA
About the family: Transfer RNA (tRNA) molecules are approximately 80 nucleotides in length. Their secondary structure includes four short double-helical elements and three loops (D, anti-codon, and T loops).
Source: RNAcentral